RNAcentral lists this ribosomal RNA (253 nucleotides) under uncultured bacterium. RNAcentral describes it as "partial 16S ribosomal RNA". It matches the Rfam family "Bacterial small subunit ribosomal RNA", at positions 524 to 776 of the family's 1533-position model. The record is from RNAcentral.
UACAGAGGUCUCAAGCGUUGUUCGGAAUCACUGGGCGUAAAGGGUGCGUAGGCGGGUCUUUAAGUCAGGGGUGAAAUCCUGGAGCUCAACUCCAGAACUGCCUUUGAUACUGAGGAUCUUGAGUACGGGAGAGGUGAGUGGAACUGCGAGUGUAGAGGUGAAAUUCGUAGAUAUUCGCAAGAACACCAGUGGCGAAGGCGGCUCACUGGCCCGUAACUGACGCUGAGGCACGAAAGCGUGGGGAGCAAACCGG